GUAUUUUACAGCUCUGUCAUUGGAUCAAAGAAGGGAAACUGAAGAUCAAAGAAACUGUGGUAAAGGGCCUGGAAAACAUUGGGGAGGCUUUCCAGUCCAUGAUGACCGGAGGCAACAUUGGAAAACAGAUAGUGCUGAUUUCUGAAUAAAAAUUAUGCCUCUUCAUAUCAGAAAACUCUACAAUUCAGCAAUGCUGCCUGCUGUCAUGGGGCUGCUUAGGCCUCUGAGGAAUAGUUAAUCAAGCUCAUCUGAUAGAGUUGCUGGAAAAUUAUAAAAAUCCGAAGCUAUUCUGUUUGAUCUCUCUCUUCAGCCUUCUUCCAUCAGUGUAAAUUGAGGGAAGCUGCUGCAGUAGAAAAGGCUAGGAAGGAGGACUCUGCCUACUUGAAUGCAGUUGCAGAUAUGGAAAGGGUGAGCUAGAAUAAAGGGGAAAUGAUCAUAGGAGCUGUAGAUCGGUGUAAUUCUCAUGUGAUUAAAGAGCAGUAAUAUGUUAGAA
Molecule: non-coding RNA, 493 nt
Organism: Pelodiscus sinensis (Chinese soft-shelled turtle)
Lineage: Eukaryota; Metazoa; Chordata; Testudines; Trionychidae
Source: RefSeq, a predicted model, not a curated record